RNAcentral lists this ribosomal RNA (1800 nucleotides) under Escherichia coli. RNAcentral describes it as "partial 23S ribosomal RNA". It matches the Rfam family "Bacterial large subunit ribosomal RNA", at positions 379 to 2167 of the family's 2925-position model. The record is from RNAcentral. Lineage: Bacteria; Pseudomonadati; Pseudomonadota; Gammaproteobacteria; Enterobacterales; Enterobacteriaceae.
ACAAAAAUGCACAUACUGUGAGCUCGAUGAGUAGGGCGGGACACGUGGUAUCCUGUCUGAAUAUGGGGGGACCAUCCUCCAAGGCUAAAUACUCCUGACUGACCGAUAGUGAACCAGUACCGUGAGGGAAAGGCGAAAAGAACCCCGGCGAGGGGAGUGAAAAAGAACCUGAAACCGUGUACGUACAAGCAGUGGGAGCACGCUUAGGCGUGUGACUGCGUACCUUUUGUAUAAUGGGUCAGCGACUUAUAUUCUGUAGCAAGGUUAACCGAAUAGGGGAGCCGAAGGGAAACCGAGUCUUAACUGGGCGUUAAGUUGCAGGGUAUAGACCCGAAACCCGGUGAUCUAGCCAUGGGCAGGUUGAAGGUUGGGUAACACUAACUGGAGGACCGAACCGACUAAUGUUGAAAAAUUAGCGGAUGACUUGUGGCUGGGGGUGAAAGGCCAAUCAAACCGGGAGAUAGCUGGUUCUCCCCGAAAGCUAUUUAGGUAGCGCCUCGUGAAUUCAUCUCCGGGGGUAGAGCACUGUUUCGGCAAGGGGGUCAUCCCGACUUACCAACCCGAUGCAAACUGCGAAUACCGGAGAAUGUUAUCACGGGAGACACACGGCGGGUGCUAACGUCCGUCGUGAAGAGGGAAACAACCCAGACCGCCAGCUAAGGUCCCAAAGUCAUGGUUAAGUGGGAAACGAUGUGGGAAGGCCCAGACAGCCAGGAUGUUGGCUUAGAAGCAGCCAUCAUUUAAAGAAAGCGUAAUAGCUCACUGGUCGAGUCGGCCUGCGCGGAAGAUGUAACGGGGCUAAACCAUGCACCGAAGCUGCGGCAGCGACGCUGAUGCGUUGUUGGGUAGGGGAGCGUUCUGUAAGCCUGUGAAGGUGUGCUGUGAGGCAUGCUGGAGGUAUCAGAAGUGCGAAUGCUGACAUAAGUAACGAUAAAGCGGGUGAAAAGCCCGCUCGCCGGAAGACCAAGGGUUCCUGUCCAACGUUAAUCGGGGCAGGGUGAGUCGACCCCUAAGGCGAGGCCGAAAGGCGUAGUCGAUGGGAAACAGGUUAAUAUUCCUGUACUUGGUGUUACUGCGAAGGGGGGACGGAGAAGGCUAUGUUGGCCGGGCGACGGUUGUCCCGGUUUAAGCGUGUAGGCUGGUUUUCCAGGCAAAUCCGGAAAAUCAAGGCUGAGGCGUGAUGACGAGGCACUACGGUGCUGAAGCAACAAAUGCCCUGCUUCCAGGAAAAGCCUCUAAGCAUCAGGUAACAUCAAAUCGUACCCCAAACCGACACAGGUGGUCAGGUAGAGAAUACCAAGGCGCUUGAGAGAACUCGGGUGAAGGAACUAGGCAAAAUGGUGCCGUAACUUCGGGAGAAGGCACGCUGAUAUGUAGGUGAAGCGACUUGCUCGUGGAGCUGAAAUCAGUCGAAGAUACCAGCUGGCUGCAACUGUUUAUUAAAAACACAGCACUGUGCAAACACGAAAGUGGACGUAUACGGUGUGACGCCUGCCCGGUGCCGGAAGGUUAAUUGAUGGGGUCAGCGCAAGCGAAGCUCUUGAUCGAAGCCCCGGUAAACGGCGGCCGUAACUAUAACGGUCCUAAGGUAGCGAAAUUCCUUGUCGGGUAAGUUCCGACCUGCACGAAUGGCGUAAUGAUGGCCAGGCUGUCUCCACCCGAGACUCAGUGAAAUUGAACUCGCUGUGAAGAUGCAGUGUACCCGCGGCAAGACGGAAAGACCCCGUGAACCUUUACUAUAGCUUGACACUGAACAUUGAGCCUUGAUGUGUAGGAUAGGUGGGAGGCUUUGAAGUGUGG